CCAGUAUUUUUCCUAAUGGUGUCCAGAAUACAAGGACAUAAUAUGAAACUUUCAUGAAUAUCAUCUCUCAUAUAUUCACUCUUCUCCUUUUCUAUUUUCAGGUAGUUAAGCUUAUGUUACAAUUCUCACUAUUUUUCAUACUCCUCUAUAAGCCUUCAUGAUGGGUAAACACAUAUAAGUCCAUGCUCCAUUAAUCACAGCAGGCCACAUCUGACCUCUGACCUUGGCAUAAAUGAUGGACUGUCCUGUUCUGGCUAAAACGUCUUCACUUGUUAAAAAAUGAAACUCAAGGCAUUUCCAGGAUGUACCUGGCAUUAGAACUGUGUGACUUCUUGGCUUGUGCCUCUAGCACCUGAGAUGGUCCUAAAGUUAUGUUGUGCACAGUGGUUGCUGCUGGCACAAAUGUUUCGACACCUUGAGGCUCUCAAACCUCUGCUCCAUGUGUCUUGAGUCUCUGUAGAUAACAACAUAGUGUAGGGUGCACACGUCCUGGCAAUUUCUCUUGGAAUGACUACAGUAGCUAAUGGUCAUGGGACCCACAAAUCUUGGUCCCAUUUAUAUAUACUACAAAUGGCCUUAAAUCCACCGCCUUACCUGUUGGGAAUGAGCCCAAGGGAUCUUAUUCAUGAGGCAAUAUUUUACAAAAGCUAAGGAUGACAGUUUUCCUCAAGAGGAUUUUACUUCCAACUCUGCAAAAUGUCUGGGAUCAAGAGAAGCAAAUAGGUUGACUCUCAGCUUGAAAUAAGAGGACGGAGAAAUACUGAAGAUAAAUAAAACAUUGCCACAAAAAGAAAAAAAAAAGCUUUCAUAUUGUAUUGCAUAAUCAAGAUCUCCAGCCUGAAUGGGGGCAGGUUCCAUAGAGCUGCCUCCAAAGUAAAACUGCAAGUGAUAGGGAAAUUGUGUCAACUUUAGCCUCUUGGAAGGGUACUCAUCUGCUCUGACGUGGGUAUGUUGCCCAAUAUAGGUGCCAGCAGCAUCUGCAAGCAGCAGCUAGAUAUGGGAUGAAGAGAUAAUCAUUAACAAGAAAAGCAGAAUAAAAAAAAAAAAAAAAACCAA
This is a long non-coding RNA of Peromyscus leucopus (white-footed mouse), 1056 nucleotides long. RefSeq lists it as uncharacterized. Lineage: Eukaryota; Metazoa; Chordata; Mammalia; Rodentia; Cricetidae. The record is from RefSeq and is a predicted model, not a curated record. The transcript is spliced from 2 exons.